UCCCUCCCGAAAACGUGUGAAGAGCACGGCUGAUGUUCCUCGACAGGUGCCCGGGGAUCAGACAGGUACGCUCCGCCUAAAUGCGGAGCCUCGAACCCAGCCACGUUUGGGCUCCCCGUACCACUAACGAAAACUAAAUCUCCGUAUGGAACCCCUGGUGGUGAAAAGUAGCACCAUUAGUUCUGAUCGUGGACUGACAUUUCUUUAAUUGCAUAUCACUAGCAGAUAGACGAAGGAGUCACACGGCGUGAAUUAUUCUCUGUAUGUCCAAUGCAUCUAUUCAUCACUUGUACAGUUGUAACGUAAAUCCUGAUUGGCUAUCAUCAAUUAUAGAUGACCAAUCAUAUGAAUCAAACCAGAGACUUCCCUCUUACCAUACUCAUUGUGCGAUACCUCACUCAGGCCGUUAACAAUAUUGGCAGUUAGACAAAUGUUUCGAUACCAGAAGUGUCAAUCAAUUAUUGAUAUAUACAUUGUAAAAUGUACUAAUUAACUUAAGUUUGUUUUUUAUUUGCGCUUUAUUCAGUUAAAACAACAUCAUUUAUAGCAACUAUUUGAUCUUCAAACAUUGUAGGCGCCACAGGCGGAAACGUUAAUUUAAGACUAUUCUUUUGAUUAGUGAUAUCUUGUUAAUAUACCUCGUGAUCGCGUAUAAGUACCUGCAUCUAUUGAAGCGGCAUACGAGGGUUCCAGCACGCUAUUGACAUGUGCACGGUGGCUGGUUCUACAGCGGGUUGUUCAAUAAACCAAUAGUUGUAUGUAUAGAGACAAUAAGAGCUAUAGAAACUGGUGUAGUUGUUACAAUACUUAUUCGAGCAAAACCUAUAUAAUACGUUUAACAUGUAUUGAUCUGUAAGAAGGAUUGUGAUUUAGUCAAUAUCGCUUUGUAUGGCGUACAGAAACACCAAACGAUGCAUAUGUCACAUGAUAAAUCAGAGAAAAGAUAUUAUCUUGUCCACUCUCUCUCUCUCUCUCUCUCUCUCUCUUCUCUCUCUCUCUCUCUC
Mizuhopecten yessoensis (Yesso scallop) is the source of this 1004-nucleotide long non-coding RNA. RefSeq lists it as uncharacterized. Lineage: Eukaryota; Metazoa; Mollusca; Bivalvia; Pectinida; Pectinidae. The transcript has 3 exons. The record is from RefSeq and is a predicted model, not a curated record.